RNAcentral lists this ribosomal RNA (932 nucleotides) under Bacillus subtilis. Its description in RNAcentral is "bacterial SSU rRNA". It matches the Rfam family "Bacterial small subunit ribosomal RNA", at positions 48 to 961 of the family's 1533-position model. The record is from RNAcentral. Lineage: Bacteria; Bacillati; Bacillota; Bacilli; Caryophanales; Bacillaceae.
GCUAUACAUGCAAGUCGAGCGGACAGAUGGGAGCUUGCUCCCUGAUGUUAGCGGCGGACGGGUGAGUAACACGUGGGUAACCUGCCUGUAAGACUGGGAUAACUCCGGGAAACCGGGGCUAAUACCGGAUGCUUGUUUGAACCGCAUGGUUCAAACAUAAAAGGUGGCUUCGGCUACCACUUACAGAUGGACCCGCGGCGCAUUAGCUAGUUGGUGAGGUAAUGGCUCACCAAGGCAACGAUGCGUAGCCGACCUGAGAGGGUGAUCGGCCACACUGGGACUGAGACACGGCCCAGACUCCUACGGGAGGCAGCAGUAGGGAAUCUUCCGCAAUGGACGAAAGUCUGACGGAGCAACGCCGCGUGAGUGAUGAAGGUUUUCGGAUCGUAAAGCUCUGUUGUUAGGGAAGAACAAGUACCGUUCGAAUAGGGCGGUACCUUGACGGUACCUAACCAGAAAGCCACGGCUAACUACGUGCCAGCAGCCGCGGUAAUACGUAGGUGGCAAGCGUUGUCCGGAAUUAUUGGGCGUAAAGGGCUCGCAGGCGGUUUCUUAAGUCUGAUGUGAAAGCCCCCGGCUCAACCGGGGAGGGUCAUUGGAAACUGGGGAACUUGAGUGCAGAAGAGGAGAGUGGAAUUCCACGUGUAGCGGUGAAAUGCGUAGAGAUGUGGAGGAACACCAGUGGCGAAGGCGACUCUCUGGUCUGUAACUGACGCUGAGGAGCGAAAGCGUGGGGAGCGAACAGGAUUAGAUACCCUGGUAGUCCACGCCGUAAACGAUGAGUGCUAAGUGUUAGGGGGUUUCCGCCCCUUAGUGCUGCAGCUAACGCAUUAAGCACUCCGCCUGGGGAGUACGGUCGCAAGACUGAAACUCAAAGGAAUUGACGGGGGCCCGCACAGCGGUGGAGCAUGUGGGUUUAAUUCGAAGCAACG